CAGAAGUCCAAGGAGGUCAGGCCAAAGCUGGCGUCAAAGCUCAGUGACAGAGAGCACUGCAGGCACAGCUGUGAGGUCAGCAUGCUGAUUAGAGACUCCUGGUCACCAGUGGGUCAAGCAUGUGUUGCUUCAGAGAGUCACUAAUGGCAUUUGGAAAAAUGGAAAAGAGUAAGUAAUAACGGCCAUCGAUUUUAAGAAAAAGAAAUGACAAGACCAAAAAAAAAAAAAAGUCAAACCAGGGUAACUGGACACUAGAAGUGCGUCUCAAGUAAACAGGAACUAUAAGGAACAUCUGCAACAGAGGGUUCAUGUGGCCCUAUAGGAGAGGCACGUCCAUCGUAGCCCAGGACAGGUGAGAGUUUCUAGGGAGAGGCGAGGGGCAUGCCAUUAUUCCUGAUCCACAACACGGCUG
Molecule: long non-coding RNA, 412 nt
Filed under: Mustela putorius furo (domestic ferret)
Lineage: Eukaryota; Metazoa; Chordata; Mammalia; Carnivora; Mustelidae
Description: lncRNA (ENSMPUG00000023930.1)
Source: RNAcentral